RNAcentral lists this ribosomal RNA (811 nucleotides) under uncultured archaeon. RNAcentral's name for it is "bacterial SSU rRNA". It matches the Rfam family "Archaeal small subunit ribosomal RNA", at positions 85 to 879 of the family's 1478-position model. The record is from RNAcentral.
ACGGCUCAGUAACACGUGGCUAACCUGCCCUCGGGACGAGAACACCCCCGGGAAACUGGGGCUAAUUCUCGAUAGGCGAAGAACUCUGGAAUGAGUCUUUACCCAAAAGACGCUUAGAUCAUGCUUCUAGACGUCGCCCAAGGAUGGGGCCGCGGCCGAUCAGGUUGUUGGUGAGGUAAUGGCUCACCAAGCCUUUAACCGGUGCGGGCCGUGGGAGCGGGAGCCCGGAGAUGGGCACUGAGACAAGGGCCCAGGCCCUACGGGGCGCAGCAGUCGCGAAAACUUUGCAAUAAGCGAAAGCUUGACAGGGCUAUCCCGAGUGCCAUCCGCUGAGGAAGGCUUUUACCCAGUCUAGUAAGCUGGGGGAAUAAGGAGAGGGCAAGUCUGGUGUCAGCCGCCGCGGUAAUACCAGCUCUCCGAGUGGUGUGGAUGUUUAUUGGGCCUAAAGCAUCCGUAGCUGGCUGAGUUAGUCCCCUGUUAAAUCCACUGAAUCAAUCGUUGGAUUGCGGGGGAUACUGCUCGGCUAGGGGACGGGAGAGGCAGACGGUAUUUCCGGGGUAGGGGUGAAAUCCUAUAAUCCCGGGAAGACCACCAGUGGCGAAGGCGGCUUGCCAGAACGCGCUCGACGGUGAGGGAUGAAAGCUGGGGGAGCAAACCGGAUUAGAUACCCGGGUAGUCCCAGCUGUAAACGAUGCAGACUCGGUGAUGAACAGGCUUCGUGCCUGUUCAGUGCCGCAGGGAAGCCGUUAAGUCUGCCGCCUGGGGAGUACGGUCGCAAGAUUGAAACUUAAAGGAAUUGGCGGGGGAGCAC